Molecule: ribosomal RNA, 119 nt
Filed under: Pteropus alecto (black flying fox)
Lineage: Eukaryota; Metazoa; Chordata; Mammalia; Chiroptera; Pteropodidae
Source: RNAcentral
GUCUAUGAUCAUGCCACCCUGAACAUGCCCGAUCUCGUCUGAUCUCAAAAGCUAAGCAGAGUCAGGCCUGGUUAGUACUUGGAUGGGAGACCAUCUAGGAAUACCAGAGGCUGUAGGCU